AACGAACGCUGGCGGCAUGCCUAACACAUGCAAGUCGAACGAGACCUUCGGGUCUAGUGGCGCACGGGUGCGUAACACGUGGGAAUCUGCCCGUUGCUUCGGAAUAACAGUUAGAAAUGACUGCUAAUACCGGAUGAUGUCGAAAGACCAAAGAUUUAUCGGCAAAGGAUGAGCCCGCGUAGGAUUAGGUAGUUGGUGGGGUAAAGGCCUACCAAGCCGACGAUCCUUAGCCGGUCUGAGAGGAUGAUCAGCCACACUGGGACUGAGACACGGCCCAGACUCCUACGGGAGGCAGCAGUGGGGAAUAUUGGACAAUGGGCGAAAGCCUGAUCCAGCAAUGCCGCGUGAGUGAUGAAGGCCUUAGGGUUGUAAAGCUCUUUUACCAGGGAUGAUAAUGACAGUACCUGGAGAAUAAGCUCCGGCUAACUCCGUG
Molecule: ribosomal RNA, 433 nt
Filed under: uncultured bacterium
Lineage: Bacteria
Description: partial 16S ribosomal RNA
Rfam family: Bacterial small subunit ribosomal RNA
Source: RNAcentral